GGAUGGUGGCUCAGUGGUAGAGCACUUGCCUAGCAUGCGUGAGGCACUGGGUUCAAUUCUCAGCACCA
RNAcentral lists this transfer RNA (68 nucleotides) under Marmota monax (woodchuck). RNAcentral describes it as "tRNA.Ala". It matches the Rfam family "tRNA". Rfam says of the family: Transfer RNA (tRNA) molecules are approximately 80 nucleotides in length. Their secondary structure includes four short double-helical elements and three loops (D, anti-codon, and T loops). The record is from RNAcentral. Lineage: Eukaryota; Metazoa; Chordata; Mammalia; Rodentia; Sciuridae.